ACACACACACACACAAGUGCAUGGCGGGGAAAGAAGCCAUAUUUCUGUUCCUUGCUGAGACUGUAAAUAAAGACUUGAGAAGAAGUGCAUGCUGAAGAUACACGUAGGCUAACGCAUGCACAUGCAGGCACAGGCUUGCCCGCUUCCCUUGCACUCACAUGCUGCUUCGCUCUGAGAAACAUGCGGGUACAGCUUUGUACCUUGAGUUGUACGUACACACUGUACGUGCAGACAUACAUGGAGGGAGCGCGCACACAGACGUUAAAGCACAGUAUAUAAGGGCAUGCUGAUUUGCACACAUACGGACUUUGCACGCUCCCAUAACAUAAGGAAACAUAGUUCACGGUGUGCUCCAUUUGCUUAUGCAGUGAACAUGAAAGCACAAUAUUGAGAGUGUGUGGGCCGAAGUAUUCAACUCUUAAUACCUCUCAUAAGGGAAACAUCUGCUACCCUUCAUAUCUGAGUCCUCUCUUCUUCUUUUUUAAUCUCCCUCCAUGUCUCUCCUGCACUCUCCUCCUCACUCCCUCUCUGUGAAGUUGUUUCUCUUCAUUUCUCUCAUCUUUUUUCUCUCUCUUCUCUGUCCUCUUUUCUCAGUGUGCCCCCAGCUUUUGGCUCUUCAAUGACUCUCCGCCACAGCUGGGGUUGUUUUUGAACCGUCGAAUGCAUCGGCGGCCGAAAAACAAGUGGGCUGCAUUUCUGUGAAAAAGCCACUCCACUCCCUGUGUAGAACUGCUGACCUCUCCAAAAGGCAUAAGUAGCCUUUUCUGUCUGUCUUCUUGUCUUUCUUUGCGUUUCCUUGAGCAUAUUUCUAAUUUUUUUCACAACUGUGCACAGUGGACUGAAACAGCUGUGGUUCACAUCCUACAUCCUGCCGUAGCUCACUUUGCCAAAACACAGAAUUCCAAGGUGCACCAAAUGACCUGGAAAAGAACGCAACAAAUUUUGUUUUUCCUGGAAAUGUCAUCUGCAGGCCACUGUGAUCAUCUGAGAGGGCUGACAUAGCAACACACUGCCAGACAAAGUUCUAAAAUAAAGUUACAAUCACAGUUGAAUUGGAUCUAAAGAAGUUAAUGUAUCUAUGACGUGGAUCAAACCCUACCUCUGUUUCAUGAAAUACAUAACAGUUAUUAAAUUAACCAAUAAAAUUUUUAACUGUGCACUGUAGCCAUUUUGAGGUCAGAUAUGAGAGCUCCUCUCACAGUUAGGACUUUGUUUCUAUUCAUCUCCGUUCCCUUCACUCUCCUUCCUCUGUAGGGAUAAAAAUGGAAAUGUUACACUGUGUAGAUCCACCAUGUAAACUGUGGUGGCAUGCUGGAACAUGAAAGCAGUCUUUGACUGUGACUGCAUGUGCUUGGCCUAGUUUUUGAUUCCAUUAAAUUAUUGGGUGGGUGGGAGGAAAGGCUGCACUGUCUUUUAAGUAUUAGCAAACUGGAUGUCAGAUGGUGUAUAUGAAUGUAUUUAUGUGUGUGUUGUCCAUGUGUCUUCUAGUGCAUAUGGAGGCACAGAUCUGUUGUUUGUUUGCACUUUAUUACAGGACUAGCAUAAUAUGUAUUUAUUAUGCUUAUAGUGCUUGUUAUAUUAUGUUGACAUCAUUUUCUUCAUUAUGUUUUUCAUGACUGAACUUGUCUGUUUCUUGCAGCGUGUCAAUCAAUAUCACGCUGUAGCAACUGAUAUCUAUAGGCUUGACUACAGAAUAGCUACUGGUGAAAGGCUGAAGACCAAGCGAAUAAAUGAAACACACGAUGGUCACCAUGUCUGAGACAAGUGAGACACGUGAAGAAGCACACAGAAAUCAGAACGAGGACAAAGCAGCAGAUAAAACGAGAGCCUUGACUCGUCAUGUAACUCAGAAUUCAAUAUAGGAGACAAACAAUGGAGCGUCCACAAGCUUCCUGCCAACAACAAAACCUGUUCAAAGAGAAACACUAAACCUUCCUCUCCCGCAUCCCUGCCUCUGACCAAGGACAUGUUUGAUGUCAUCCAAAACAAUGUUUAUCUUCCCUCUGUGUCUACUCCAGCUUUGUUUCUGGGUUAUCCCUAAUAUGCUGCCCUGAUAGGUGUGUGUAUCAAGCCUGGGUGUGUGCCACAUGGAAGGGACCAGACAGAGGUCAACAGUAAAUAACACUGUAUGCAUUGGUGUUUUAUUGGCAGGAGCGAAAGACUGGGCCAUUGUAGCAAGUUUGCAUUUGGAAAUUAUGUUAGAGAAGAGAAAUGUUUUAAUAGUUUUUAAUUGAUUGACAUUUUGGGGAACACGCUGAUUCAGUCUUGCUGAGAGUUGUAUGAGAAGAUUGGUACUACUUUCAUUUGCCUGUGAUAAGUGAUAAGUGAUGAGUGAGGGAAAAUGGCUAAUGUGGCCAGUGUUUGCUAAGAAAUAGUUGCAGCACGCAACUCUCUGUGAAACCACAACUAGCUGUUUUUGCAUUUUUGUUAAUGUACUGGUUAAAGAAAGGACCACGCUGCUGGAAAAUAAGUGUAUCUCCCAAAAAAUGAUCCCUUAAUCUAAUUGUUCAGAAUUUUAAAAACUUUUUUUUUUUUUUUUUAGCACAAACUGGGGUCAUACUAUGCCCUGAACAGCAUUUCUGCCUUUUGAUGUGUAUCAUUAUGUUUCUGAUCUGUGCCUCCAGUGCCAGCAGAUGCUCAUAUUCUGCAUGUGUACAUUGUAGACGAACAGGCAACUGUGCACAUAUGUGCUCUGUGCAUGCAAACAAUGCCACCAGUUGCUGUGGGUGGAAGCUCCCUGGUUGUCUGCCAGCAUGCAGGGAGGGACUGACCACGGCACAAUGGAGGGUGUGAGCUGACUCUGGAGGGGGGGGGGGGGGCAGCAAGGGAGGGAGGUGGUGGAUUUGGAGAAAGAGGUGGUGGUGGUGGAGAAGGACGAGGUGGUGAAGCCACAGGGGUGGUAAGUGGAGAUAAAGCCAGACAGAUGGGACAGACAAUGGAGGCAUAGACACCCAUCCUGCAUGUCAACAACACCCCCCUUGGCCUCCUUCAGACUUUAGCCUUUAGUCCUUUAUCUCUCCCCAUGUGCCAAAGUUUCUUUACAUUCUCACUUUUGUGCCAAGUUUUUCUCUGUUUUUAUUUUCCCAACCUAAGGUCAAUUAAAAAAACUGAAUAUUUUGCA
Molecule: long non-coding RNA, 3121 nt
Organism: Lates calcarifer (barramundi perch)
Lineage: Eukaryota; Metazoa; Chordata; Actinopteri; Centropomidae
Exons: 2
Source: RefSeq, a predicted model, not a curated record